UACGGAGGGUGCAAGCGUUAUCCGGAUUCACUGGGUUUAAAGGGUGCGUAGGUUGAUUGGUAAGUCAGUGGUGAAAUACUCCGACUCAAUCGGAGAACUGCCGUUGAUACUAUCAAUCUUGAAUACGGUGGAGGCGGGCGGAAUGCGUCAUGUAGUGGUGAAAUACUUAGAUAUGACGCAGAACACCUAUUGCGAAGGCAGCUCGCUACACCGGCAUUGACACUGAGGCACGAAAGCGUGGGGAUCAAACAGG
RNAcentral lists this ribosomal RNA (253 nucleotides) under uncultured bacterium. RNAcentral describes it as "partial 16S ribosomal RNA". It matches the Rfam family "Bacterial small subunit ribosomal RNA", at positions 524 to 776 of the family's 1533-position model. The record is from RNAcentral.